Non-coding RNA from Brachypodium distachyon (stiff brome), 83 nucleotides. Lineage: Eukaryota; Viridiplantae; Streptophyta; Magnoliopsida; Poales; Poaceae. The record is from Rfam.
UUAUACCUAUGAUGAGCUGCAAAACUGUAUUGCCUACAUUGUUUGACCUAGCUUAUGAGAAACCUGCAACUUCUGAGGAUUAA